CGGAGAGGGAGCCUGAGAAAUGGCUACCACAUCCAAGGAUGGCAGCAGGCGCGCAAAUUACCCACUCCCAGCUUGGGGAGGUAGUGACGAAAAAUAACAAUGCGGGACUCUAAGAGGCCCCGUAAUUGGAAUGAGUACACCUUAAAUCGUUUAACGAGUAUCAAUUGGAGGGCAAGUCUGGUGCCAGCAGCCGCGGUAAUUCCAGCUCCAAUAGCGUAUAUUAAAGUUGCUGCAGUUAAAAAGCUCGUAGUUGGAUCUGGGGCUUGAGGUCGCUGUCUAUCGUUUCGGCGAUGACGGUGAUGCUCAGCUCUGCUUGCCGGUGACUGUUGCGGUGUUCUUCACUGAGCGCUGUAGCAGCACGGCACGUUUACUUUGAAAAAAUUAGAGUGCUCAAAGCGUGCUUGUCGCUUGAAUAAUGUUGCAUGGAAUAAUGGAAUAGGACCUCGGUUCUAUUUUGUUGGUUUUCGGAGCUUGAGGUAAUGAUUAAGAGGGACGAACGGGGGCAUUCGUAUUGCGGUGUUAGAGGUGAAAUUCUUGGAUCGCCGCAAGACGGACUACUGCGAAAGCAUUUGCCAAGAACGCUUUCAUUAAUUAAGAACGAAAGUCAGAGGUUCGAAGACGGUCAGACACCGUCCUAGUUCUGACCAUAAACGAUGCCGACCAGCGAUCCGUAGUGGUUGCUUUAUGGACCCUACGGGCAGCCUCCGGGAAACCAAAGUAUUUGGGUUCCGGGGGAAGUAUGGUUGCAAAGCUGAAACUUAAAGGAAUUGACGGAAGGGCACACCAGGAGUGGAGUCUGCGGCUUAAUUUGACACAACACGGGAAAACUCACCCGGUCCGGACACCGUAAGGAUUGACAGACUGAUAGCUCUUUCUUGAUUCGGUGGAUGGUGGUGCAUGGCCGUUCUUAGUUGGUGGAGUGAUUUGUCUGGUUAAUUCCGAUAACGAACGAGACUCUAGCCUGCUAAGUAGUGUUGCUAUUGUUAUAUGGUUGACACUUCUUAGAGGGACAAGUGGCAUUUAGCCACGCGAAAUUGAGCAAUAACAGGUCUGUGAUGCCCUUAGAUGUCCGGGGCCGCACGCGCGCUACACUGGAGAAGUCAGCGUGUGUUAUCCAAGUCCGAAAGGACUGGGUAAUCCGUUGAACCUUCUUCGUGCUUGGGACUGUGGCUUGGAACUAUUCCACAUGAACGAGGAAUUCCUAGUAAUUGCAAGUCAUAAGCUUGCGUUGAUUACGUCCCUGCCCUUUGUACACACCGCCCGUCGCUACUACCGAUUGAAUGGUUUAGCAAGGUCCUCGGAUCGUGGCCGUAGGGGCACGCAAGUGUUUCUGCGGUUUGCGAGAAGACGACCAAACUUGAUCAUUUAGAGGAAGUAAAAGUCGUAACAAGGUU
This 1394-nucleotide ribosomal RNA is filed under the name metagenome. Its description in RNAcentral is "SSU rRNA". It matches the Rfam family "Eukaryotic small subunit ribosomal RNA", at positions 384 to 1801 of the family's 1831-position model. The record is from RNAcentral.